Molecule: ribosomal RNA, 116 nt
Filed under: uncultured bacterium
Lineage: Bacteria
Description: partial 16S ribosomal RNA
Rfam family: Bacterial small subunit ribosomal RNA
Source: RNAcentral
CGUUCCCGGGUCUUGUACACACCGCCCGUCACACCACGAAAGUCAGCAACACCCGAAGCCGGUGGCCUAACCCUUACGGGAAGGAGCCGUCGAAGGUGGGGCUGGUGAUUGGGGUG